AGAGUUUGAUCCUGGCUCAGGACGAACGCCUGGCGGCGUGCCUAAUACAUGCAAGUAGAACGCUGAAGACUUUAGCUUGCUAGAGUUGGAAGAGUUGCGAACGGGUGAGUAACGCGUAGGUAACCUGCCUACUAGCGGGGGAUAACUAUUGGAAACGAUAGCUAAUACCGCAUAACAGUGUUUAACACAUGUUAGAUGCUUGAAAGAUGCAAUUGCAUCACUAGUAGAUGGACCUGCGUUGUAUUAGCUAGUUGGUGGGGUAACGGCCUACCAAGGCGACGAUACAUAGCCGACCUGAGAGGGUGAUCGGCCACACUGGGACUGAGACACGGCCCAUACUCCUACGGGAGGCAGCAGUAGUGGAAUCUUUCGGCAAUGGGGGCAACCCUGACCCCGAGCAACGCCGCGUGAGUUAAGAAGGUUUUUCGGUAUCCGUAUAAGCUCUGUUGUAAGAGAAAGAACGUGUGUGAAGAGUGGAAAGUUCACACCAUUGACGGGUAACUUACCAGAAAAGGGACGGCUAAUUACGUGCCCAGCAGCCGCGGUAAU
Molecule: ribosomal RNA, 549 nt
Filed under: Streptococcus sp. W50
Lineage: Bacteria; Bacillati; Bacillota; Bacilli; Lactobacillales; Streptococcaceae
Description: bacterial SSU rRNA
Rfam family: Bacterial small subunit ribosomal RNA
Source: RNAcentral